UCGGGAAUUUUGGGCAAUGGGCGAAAGCCUGACCCAGCAACGCCGCGUGAAGGAUGAAAUCCCUCGGGAUGUAAACUUCGCAAGAAUGGGAAGAAUAAGUGGGGGAUAAUACCCCCCAUGAUGACGGUACCAUUUGUAAGCUCCGGCUAACUUCGUGCCAGCAGCCGCGGUAAUACGAGGGGAGCAAGCGUUGUUCGGAUUUACUGGGCGUAAAGGGCGCGUAGGCGGUCGUGACAAGUCACUUGUGAAAUCUCCGGGCUUAACUCGGAACGGUCAAGUGAUACUGUCGGACUAGAGUACAGAAGGGGCAACUGGAAUUCUCGGUGUAGCGGUGAAAUGCGUAGAUAUCGAGAGGAACACCUGCGGCGAAGGCGGGUUGCUGGGCUGAUACUGACGCUGAGGCGCGAAAGCCAGGGGAGCGAACGGGAUUAGAUACCCCGGUAGUCCUGGCCUUAAACGAUGAAUGCUUGGUGUCUCGGGUUACAAAGUCCC
Molecule: ribosomal RNA, 492 nt
Filed under: uncultured bacterium
Lineage: Bacteria
Description: bacterial SSU rRNA
Rfam family: Bacterial small subunit ribosomal RNA
Source: RNAcentral